UCGGGAAUUUUGGGCAAUGGGCGAAAGCCUGACCCAGCAACGCCGCGUGAAGGAUGAAGUAUUUCGGUAUGUAAACUUCGAAAGAAUAGGAAGAAUAAAUGACGGUACUAUUUAUAAGGUCCGGCUAACUACGUGCCAGCAGCCGCGGUAAUACGUAGGGACCAAGCGUUGUUCGGAUUUACUGGGCGUAAAGGGCGCGUAGGCGGCAAUUCAAGUCAUCUGUGAAAUCUCCGGGCUUAACUCGGAGCGGCCAAGUGAUACUGUUAGGCUAGAGUGCAGAAAGGGCAAUCGGAAUUCUUGGUGUAGCGGUGAAAUGCGUAGAUAUCAAGAGGAACACCUGAGGCGAAGGCGGGUUGCUGGGCUGAUACUGACGCUGAAGCGCGAAAGCUAGGGUAGCAAACGGGAUUAGAUACCCGAGUAGUCCCUGAGCGGGCUGGCAAGGCGCAU
Molecule: ribosomal RNA, 447 nt
Filed under: uncultured bacterium
Lineage: Bacteria
Description: bacterial SSU rRNA
Rfam family: Bacterial small subunit ribosomal RNA
Source: RNAcentral